GAUAAACGCUGGCGGCGCACAUAAGACAUGCAAGUCGAACGGACUUAACUCAUUCUUUUAGAUUGAGAGCGGUUAGUGGCGGACUGGUGAGUAACACGUAAGCAACCUGCCUAUUAGAGGGGAAUAACAGUGAGAAAUCAUUGCUAAUACCGCAUAUGCUAACAGUAUCGCAUGAUACAGUUAGGAAAGGAGCAAUCCGCUAAUAGAUGGGCUUGCGUCUGAUUAGCUGGUUGGCGGGGUAACGGGCCCACCAAGGCGACGAUCAGUAGCCGGACUGAGAGGUUGAACGGCCACAUUGGGGACUGGAGACACGGCCCAA
This 319-nucleotide ribosomal RNA is filed under the name uncultured bacterium. RNAcentral describes it as "bacterial SSU rRNA". It matches the Rfam family "Bacterial small subunit ribosomal RNA", at positions 28 to 334 of the family's 1533-position model. The record is from RNAcentral.